CUCUGGAAUAUUUUCCUCCGUGGCUUCAUUCUCUACACCUUCAUUCAGCUGAUUCUCUAGUUUCAUCUUCUUUUCCUGUUCCUCCUUCAUUUUUUUCUUAGGAGAUUUUUUCUUGGAUGUUACAUCAUUUUCUUCUUUCUUUGUAGCCUUAACAUCGUGCAUAAGCAACUCUUCGUCAAGGACUUCCUCCACUUUCAUGGAACUGCCAUCAUGAGGAGACUCAGAAUCCGAUGACAACGUACAGACUGAAUGACUGG
RNAcentral lists this unclassified non-coding RNA (257 nucleotides) under Hevea brasiliensis (rubber tree). The record is from RNAcentral. Lineage: Eukaryota; Viridiplantae; Streptophyta; Magnoliopsida; Malpighiales; Euphorbiaceae.